RNAcentral lists this long non-coding RNA (1055 nucleotides) under Carica papaya (papaya). Its description in RNAcentral is "long non-coding RNA (CPAP_LNC000573)". The record is from RNAcentral. Lineage: Eukaryota; Viridiplantae; Streptophyta; Magnoliopsida; Brassicales; Caricaceae.
UCAUAAUCAACAAGAUUUGAAUUAGGAAAAAAACUAAAUUUUUCAUUUCCAAAUGAACAUGAAUAACCAAAUUUGUCCAAUACAGAAACAUAAAUCACAUUUCAUCUAAACAAUGGUACAAUAAAAGUAUCUUCUAAAUUCAAAUAAAAUCCAGUCCUUAACAACAAUAUAAAUUUGCCAAUUGCUUCCACCUCGAUUGGUUUACCAUCACCCACAUAAAUGAAUCUGGCACCAUUACUUGGCUUGCGGUAAUGGAGGAAAAGCUGCAUAGACACAUUGAUGUGAUUUCUACCACCAAAAUAUAUCCACCAGGUGUAUGUAGGUAUAAAAGUUAAAUUAACCUCAAAACAAACAAAAUUAAGAAGCAUACAUUUCUUUGCACGUCACGCAUGAUAGUUAGUGCAUUUUUUCUUAUAGUGUCCUAGAGCUUUACAGAAGAAACAAACAUUUUCGGUUUGAUCUUUUUGUUGCUUCUUCUGUUGUAAUGGAACCACAACAGAUUUACUCGUUUUUUUUCUUCUUGUUCUUCUUAUCCUUUGAGAUCAUUGCGAAAUGAGCACUCUCUAUCCUCUCAGACUUGAGCUUUUCCUCUUUCUGAACAUAAUGUGAAAUGAACUAAUUCAGAUUCAAAGACUGACACGGGAGGGUAUGGGGAGGAUCGAAUCUACUCCUGAAAACCCACUCAACGCAUGCAAUAUCGAAACAAUAACCACCUAAAAUAAAAACCUCUCCCUCUAAUUGAAUUUGCAAUCUUAAAAGGAAAGCCAAAAACAAAGAUUAGGGAAAUAAAAUAAGGAAAAAAAAUGGCACGGACUUAUUGAUAAGUUGAUCCCUGUUCUUUGGCUCAACAAAACUUCUGAAAACUCUUGCUUCCUAAAGAACUUGAAGAAGCUAAUUUUAGCAAAAAUGCUAAAAGAAACAUAGCGAAAGCUCUUAAGAAAUUGACUAAAAAUUAUUCUCAAAUGUGUGAUUUACAAUCUAAGGGCAAAUGUCUAUUCACAGCCUUUCCCGAGUGAUCUAGAUGAGUACAAAAAUCUUGAAAGAAAUAAUAAAAU